AGCAACUCAACCACCGUCUUUCCUCUUUUCUCAUUCCGUAUCAAUUAUCUUUAAGUCAGUUCACCGACAAAACACCAUUUAAAAUCAUGGAGGUCAGUUUGGCAAGCAUUUGAUAAUCAAUGUGACAUUUUCACAACACGUGGCCUCUGUGGUAUUUGUGCUCUCAAUGAAUCUGGUUCUCCAGCAUGCAGAUGUCCAUUUACAGUGAACGGUGAAUCUAACUCGAAAUGUUUGGUUUCAUAUCAACAAAGUUGCGAAUUAGGUGUAUCUUUGAACAUUGUUGUGUAGAAUUUACCCAGUGAAUGAAACGGUUGUACAAACAAGUCUACAAAGAUGUCAGAAUAUGUGCAAUCAAGACAAAAAUUGCACUGCUGUGUCCUUCACAAAUGAUGAAAACCCACCGUGCCACAUUCUGAGAACACAAUACAUCAGUGGUCUUUGGUCGGAAUUUUUUCACGUACUUUGAGGAAGAUUUUGCAAAAUCCUGGUCACAUGACCACAUGGUGGGCCAAGAAAAAGCUCAGCCCAAUGUGGGCCCACUCGAGUGAAUAGAGUAAGCCCACUUGCACUGCCGACUGAUUCGCACACAAUUCUGAAAGAGACACCUGGGGUGAUACGUCACAGUCGAAUAGCUGCUAAUGCGGUGGCGUAGCACGGUGGCCCACCGCCACUUGCCGCCGUGUGUCGUGGAGUUUUGUUUGGUGGUGGACUUUUCGUGUCACGGCACAAUUAUUGUGUUAAGAUCGUAAUCAUACUACUGAUAAUUAUGGCUGCUGAUUAAGCAAUCAUCAUCUCUGUAUUUUUGUUGUAGUUCAUGAAUGUUUGGAAAGACCGUGUUUGGCUGA
Olea europaea var. sylvestris is the source of this 845-nucleotide long non-coding RNA. RefSeq lists it as uncharacterized. NCBI's taxonomy places the organism in Eukaryota, Viridiplantae, Streptophyta, Magnoliopsida, Lamiales, Oleaceae. The transcript has 2 exons. The record is from RefSeq and is a predicted model, not a curated record.